AGAGUUUGAUCAUGGCUCAGAUUGAACGCUGGCGGAAUGCUUUACACAUGCAAGUCGAACGAUGAAGCCUAGCUUGCUAGGUGAAUUAGUGGCGGACGGGUGAGUAAUAUAUCGGAACGUGUCCAUUAAUGGGGGAUAACUAAUCGAAAGGUUAGCUAAUACCGCAUACGCCCUGAGGGGGAAAGCUGGGGAUCUUCGGACCUAGCGUUAAUGGAGCGGCCGAUACCUGAUUAGCUAGUUGGUGGGGUAAAAGCCUACCAAGGCAACGAUCAGUAGCUGGUCUGAGAGGACGACCAGCCACACUGGGACUGAGACACGGCCCAGACUCCUACGGGAGGCAGCAGUGGGGAAUUUUGGACAAUGGGGGCAACCCUGAUCCAGCCAUUCCGCGUGAGUGAAGAAGGCCUUCGGGUUGUAAAGCUCUUUCGCAAGGGAAGAAACGAUAUAGGUUAAUAGCUUAUGUUAAUGACGGUACCUUGACAAGAAGCACCGGCUAACUACGUGCCAGCAGCCGCGGUAAUACGUAGGGUGCAAGCGUUAAUCGGAAUUACUGGGCGUAAAGCGUGCGCAGGCUGUUUUGUAAGUCAGAUGUGAAAUCCCCGAGCUCAACUUGGGAACUGCGUUUGAAACUACAAGACUAGAAUAGGUCAGAGGGGGGUAGAAUUCCAUGUGUAGCAGUGAAAUGCGUA
Molecule: ribosomal RNA, 689 nt
Filed under: uncultured bacterium
Lineage: Bacteria
Description: bacterial SSU rRNA
Rfam family: Bacterial small subunit ribosomal RNA
Source: RNAcentral